CCGACGUUGGCACCCAGAACCUCCUGGCUCUGCCACAGUGGCGUAAGGGAGCUCAGUGCUUGUUUACAAGUGCCAUGAGGCAAGUUCCCCUUCCACGUCGUCGAAGAGUAAGCCUGUCCCCGGCGCAUUUGGUGCUGGCGUGGACAGAGCCUCGCAUAUCCGUGCUGCUUCCCAGAGUCUUUCUGACACUGACUGGGGGGACUGACCAUGCAAGGAACAUUA
Molecule: non-coding RNA, 222 nt
Organism: Branchiostoma floridae (Florida lancelet)
Lineage: Eukaryota; Metazoa; Chordata; Leptocardii; Amphioxiformes; Branchiostomatidae
Source: Rfam